This 123-nucleotide ribosomal RNA is filed under the name Ewingella americana. RNAcentral's name for it is "partial 16S ribosomal RNA". It matches the Rfam family "Bacterial small subunit ribosomal RNA", at positions 1 to 115 of the family's 1533-position model. The record is from RNAcentral. Lineage: Bacteria; Pseudomonadati; Pseudomonadota; Gammaproteobacteria; Enterobacterales; Yersiniaceae.
UUAAUUGAAGAGUUUGAUCAUGGCUCAGAUUGAACGCUGGCGGCAGGCCUAACACAUGCAAGUCGAGCGGUAACACAGGAGAGCUUGCUCUCUGGGUGACGAGCGGCGGACGGGUGAGUAAUG